UUUAGACGAUCGUCAUCACAACAAAAUGGAGAUCUAAAGUUAUUGAAGGAUUAAGUUUUAGCAAAACCGUCUGACCGUGGUGUGGCCUCAAAGUUUGAUUAAACGCCAUCAAAACACGGGCUCCUGUAUCUUGGACAUAUUUUGUCCAAUCGAGUCCAAAAUAUACACAUAACACAAGAGUCGCGACCUGAAGACAUCGGUACAGAAAUCGUGACUUAAAAUCACAGCGUCCCCUGGUGGCAACAGCAAAUGUCUUGUUUUUCUAUGUGUUACAGUUUGAUUCACUACUCGUAGGGCCUUCAUUAAAUCAACGUAAAAAUUUGAUGCAUGUGUUCAAAACAAGAUGAAGAUCUAAAGUUAACGAAAUUGCAACUUUUCAUAAUACUGUGUGACCGUGGUGUGGCUUCCAGUUUGAGGAAUGAAAACAUCUAUAUCUGGCAGAUGUGCUGCAAUAUUUAGUCACUAGAUGGCAGUGUCAGACCAUGGAUUGUGUUAUCUAUGCAUUAACAGACUGUGUUUACAGGGUGGCCAACUUUAGAGGAGAAUUAAACCUUUUACAGCAUUGCUCAAACUUUGGUUUUAGUCUCAAUCGCUAAGUUCUUCCUUCAUGACAACUCUGAGGGGGGUGUAUUUUAUUUUAACUCCCUCGUUUAAGCGAUAUAGAUGUUUGAAAUUCACGUGACGUCACAGUGUAAGCUGUGCUGUGUGUUGUGAGUUCGGCUUCAACCAGCUACAAGUGAACGCCUCAUGAAAUGGCUUACACCCACAUACCCGGUAAAUUACACACUUUGAUGUUCUGCUCCUUCUCCUGACGGUCACGGUAACGAUGUCUGCGCCUCCAUUUCUGUGGAUGUCCAGCGUGAGACACAACUUGAAUCCAACCAGACUGAACACUGACUCCAGGGACGGACGAGCCUGAAGGACACAGCUGUGAUGACCAAUUGACCAUGUUUUGUCUCUUAUGGCAAAGCAGAAAUAUUAAACACUGGGUUCUUAUCUAAAGUGUAUCAAAUCAGAAAGCAAAAGAUACACAUUGUUGUUAUAAGUUUUUAUUAUUUUAACCAACCAUAAUGAAGAUAGAAAUUAAUUCUUAUCCAUGCCACUUAGCAAUGACUGCCACCACCAAACAGUUGCAGGCCAUCUUUAUUUAAGGGAGGAAUUUAGAAGUGUUGUGUAGCUUCUGAUGAUGAUGCAGUCGUCCACGUGUUGACCACCAUGUUGCUGCUGACGACGUCAGGUGCUGCAGUUCCUCAUCUAUGAAGAGAAGAAACGCACUGUUAACGAAUGUUUUGAGUUGUGUAUGAAGCACAACAGAUUUCAGAUAGAACCGUUGUACUGUGGUCUGGGUUUGUAUCCUAAUGGUUAAAUGCACAUAUUUUUAUCUAAGUCGCUUUUGAUAAAAGUACUGAAAGAAAUACAACAUUGUAAAAAUAGAUAAAAUGUCUUUCUACCUCAUCUGUAAUAUUCAAGAUGAUAAUCUCCCACAGAGCUAUUGAUAACAGUCCACAUCAAGUCUCUCCACUUCCCUCAGUGUGAAAACAUAAUUAUAUAAUUAAUUUGAGAACUGUUUACAACACUGAUGUGUGGAGAUUAAAAUCAUAUCUAAACUGUCUAAUUCACUGUAAAACUCCAUGACAUUCGCAGGCCAUCUGUAGUUAAGGGAGCAACGUAUGGAGUGAUGUGUAGAGGGCAGAAACUUGGACUAUGGGCAGAGAAGGUCUCUGGUUCGUCUCCGGUUUGACUCCACGGAGAGACAACAAAAGACAAACCUGGAUUGAUCUAUCCAAAA
Molecule: long non-coding RNA, 1789 nt
Organism: Pleuronectes platessa (European plaice)
Lineage: Eukaryota; Metazoa; Chordata; Actinopteri; Pleuronectiformes; Pleuronectidae
Exons: 3
Source: RefSeq, a predicted model, not a curated record